GUCCCUGUAGAUUAGUGGUUAGAUCACCACGUUGUGGCAAUUUGGCUGACAACCCGUGGCGACGCAGGCUCGACUCCUGCCAGGGACA
Molecule: non-coding RNA, 88 nt
Organism: Lentinula novae-zelandiae
Lineage: Eukaryota; Fungi; Basidiomycota; Agaricomycetes; Agaricales; Omphalotaceae
Source: the annotation of a GenBank genome assembly